This 507-nucleotide ribosomal RNA is filed under the name uncultured Glomeromycotina. Its description in RNAcentral is "partial small subunit ribosomal RNA". It matches the Rfam family "Eukaryotic small subunit ribosomal RNA", at positions 591 to 1092 of the family's 1831-position model. Lineage: Eukaryota; Fungi; Glomeromycota. The record is from RNAcentral.
CCAAUAGCGUAUAUUAAAGUUGUUGCAGUUAAAAAGCUCGUAGUUGAAUUUCGGGAUUGGCGCAUCGGUCGUGCCUCACGGGGUAUGAACUGGUGCAGUCAAUUUCUCACCUUCUGGAGAACCGCGAUGUCCUUAAUUGGAUGCCGCGGGGAACCAGGACCUUUACUUUGAAAAAAUUAGAGUGUUUAAAGCAGGCAUUUUUGCUUGAAUCCAUUAGCAUGGAAUAAUAAAAUAGGACGGCAUGGUUCUAUUUUGUUGGUUUCUAGGACCACCGUAAUGAUUAAUAGGGAUAGUUGGGGGCAUUAGUAUUCAAUUGUCAGAGGUGAAAUUCUUGGAUUUAUUGAAGACUAACUACUGCGAAAGCAUUUGCCAAGGAUGUUUUCAUUAAUCAAGAACGAAAGUUAGGGGAUCGAAGACGAUCAGAUACCGUCGUAGUCUUAACCAUAAACUAUGCCGACUAGGAAUCAGACGAUGUUAAUUUUUUAAUGACUCGUUUGGCACCUUACG